Molecule: unclassified non-coding RNA, 1211 nt
Filed under: Hevea brasiliensis (rubber tree)
Lineage: Eukaryota; Viridiplantae; Streptophyta; Magnoliopsida; Malpighiales; Euphorbiaceae
Source: RNAcentral
CCGGACGGUAUGGCCGUUAUAAUGAACUACUGGGCUGCGGCGCAGUGAAAAGAGUUUACCGGGCAUUUGAUCAAGAAGAAGGAAUAGAGGUUGCAUGGAACCAAGUCAAAUUAAGAAACUUCUCUAACGAUCCAACCGUGAUCGAAAGGCUUUACUCAGAGGUUCGAUUGUUAAGAAGCUUAAAGAACAAGAACAUUAUUUCUCUGUACCAUGUGUGGCGUGACGAAGAUCAUAAUAAUUUGAAUUUCAUAACUGAAGUUUGUACUUCUGGUAAUUUGAGGGAAUAUAGGAAGAAACACAGGCAUGUUUCAAAGAAGGCACUCAAGAAAUGGUCCAAACAAAUCUUGAAGGCCUUGAAUUAUUUGCAUACGCAUGAGCCUUGCAUCAUUCAUAGAAUAGAGAUCUCAAUUGCAGCAACUUGCUUGUCAAUGGGAAUAUCGGCCAGGUUAAGAUUGGUGAUCUUGGUUUGGCUGCUAUAGUGGGGAAAAGCCAUUCAGCACAUUCAAUACUUGGGACACCAGAAUUCAUGGCACCAGAGCUGUAUGAGGAGAAUUACACAGAAAUGGUGGACAUAUAUUCCUUUGGUAUGUGUGUGUUAGAGAUGGUGACAUUGGAAAUUCCAUAUAGUGAGUGUGACAACGUUGCAAGAAUAUACAAGAAAGUUUCCUCUGGAGUUAGGCCUAAGGCUUUAAGCAAGGUUAGGGUAGGGGAUUCAUUGAGAAAUGCAUUGCUCAGCCUAGAGCAAGGCCUUCUGCUGCAGAUCUCCUCAAAGAUCCAUUCUUUGAUGGAAUUGAUGAUGACGACGAAAAUGAUGAUACUUCUUCUUGUUCAUGAUACAUACUAAGUAAUAAUAUUGAUUGAUGGUUGUGUUUUGUUAAUGAUAACAACAAUAUUUAGGAGUGUAUGGCUCAAUUAGCCUAUAGAUGUUAUUCUUGUCCCUUUUUCUUUUUCCCCAAUUCUUUCCUUUUCUUGUUUUUUAUUUCUGAUGGUUGGAAGCACAUGGAGAGGAUAAAUUGUGCUUUCAAAUUUCUUUCCUUUUUCUUUUGUGUCCUUUGAAAAGAGAAAUUGGGUAAAGAUUAAAUCUGAACAGAGAAGGAUAUGAGGAAGCCAUCAUUUAGGGAUGGAUGGUAUUGUUUUGUACAAAGUUUGAAUCAUGUAAACUAGAAGAAUCAUGAGAUAAGCUUGUGGGUAUUUCCUUGUGUUCAUCAAUA